ACAUGUUAAAAAAAUCCUCAGAAAACACAAAGCCAAGAGAUGGCUAAUGAGACCGAUCCAGAAUUGAGGGUUAAUGACUGAAAAAUACUCCAACCAGUUCUAAGACCCUUACGAAGUACAACACUGACCGAAAUCUUUCAUAUCCUUAAUGCAGAUCCAAGGAGGAGUGCGUUUUUGGGCGAAACAGAGAUACAGG
This is a long non-coding RNA of Choloepus didactylus (southern two-toed sloth), 196 nucleotides long. RefSeq lists it as uncharacterized. Lineage: Eukaryota; Metazoa; Chordata; Mammalia; Pilosa; Megalonychidae. The record is from RefSeq and is a predicted model, not a curated record. The transcript is spliced from 3 exons.